Molecule: ribosomal RNA, 110 nt
Organism: Scophthalmus maximus (turbot)
Lineage: Eukaryota; Metazoa; Chordata; Actinopteri; Pleuronectiformes; Scophthalmidae
Source: Ensembl
GCUUACGGCCACACCGCCUGGUAUACGCUUUGAUCUCGGAAGAUAAGGUAGGUUGGGCCUGGUUAGUACUUGGAUGGGAGACCGCCUGGGAAUACCAGGUGCUGUAAGCU